CUGCUUUUUAUGCUUUGUUCUGCAUUAAAGAUUUGAGGAGAAUCUUUGACUAAACAUACAUAAAUAUCUGGCUUCAAAUAACAACUUUUCUGGACAUUGUUAGAGAAGCCAUUUGACAUAACUACUGGAGAGUAUGACACUACUGGACCUCUGAGAGGUAGCAGUUUGCCGAAGAUGACAGUGAAUUAUAUAGCAAGGUGGCUGAUAUCAUCGGAAGGAGGACCAACCAAAGCAAAGAUGAAACUGUGAGAGCAACCACGGAGCAAGAAAUAAGUGGAAAGGUUUAUGCUGUCUGUGGAUAUGGAUAGCAUAUGUAUAUGACUUUGCAAAAGCAGUUUGCUGAAAGAGGACAUCAUUAGAGAGUGAGGUAAUUGCACUUGUUCUGAGUGUUGAAGUGGUGGGAAAUAUGUAGUUGAU
RNAcentral lists this long non-coding RNA (417 nucleotides) under Phasianus colchicus (ring-necked pheasant). RNAcentral's name for it is "lncRNA (ENSPCLG00000003048.1)". The record is from RNAcentral. Lineage: Eukaryota; Metazoa; Chordata; Aves; Galliformes; Phasianidae.